This 579-nucleotide long non-coding RNA is filed under the name Capsella rubella. RNAcentral describes it as "long non-coding RNA (CRUB_LNC004518)". Lineage: Eukaryota; Viridiplantae; Streptophyta; Magnoliopsida; Brassicales; Brassicaceae. The record is from RNAcentral.
UUGUACUAAAACUGUUUAAGAUGAAUGUGAUCGGUCGGAGUCGGACCAUAGAGAUAAGUAGUAGUCUUUUGGUACAUUUUGUAGUCUUUUUGUGAUGCAAAUCUAUUUGCGUGUUUUGAUAGAAAACCAUAAGAAAGAUAUUUUGAAGCAUGAAAAGUAUCAAAUUAUGAAGGAAUCUUAUUUUGCAUAUAUUUUGUUCUUCAAAGGAUGAUUUUUGGAUAAGAACGGAUAUUAUCGGUCUUUCUCUGAGAUGUCAAAGUCAAUAUAAAUCACCAUUUAAGGAAAAAUAAAGAAAAGAAAAGAAAAAACAAAUAGCAAAGUAUCUCAAGCUGCAUAUAUAUAUUACUCUGUCGUCUGUGGUGAAGAGCAUUCCAAUUCGAACCAAUUGAUUUAUUUUUUAUAUUUUUUUGUUUCUUAGUUUUGUGUGUGUGGAACAAACCCAGAGGAGUCUAAAACACACACACUUAAUUGGUAAAGAAAAAGGGGAUAAAUUGUAAUAGUACUUGAUUACAACUUAAAACAUGCCUAAGAACACACCAACCUAUCAACCAUUUCCUUCACCUUGAUCAUUUACAUUUU